ACGCUCGACACCUACGGGAGGCAGCAGUGGGGAAUAUUGCACAAUGGGGGAAACCCUGAUGCAGCGACGCCGCGUGGAGGAAGAAGGUCUUCGGAUUGUAAACUCCUGUUGUUGGGGAAAAAGAGGAUGGUACCCAACAAGGAAGUGACGGCUAACUACGUGUCAGCAGCCGCGGUAAUCUGAGCGGCUGGCAAGGC
RNAcentral lists this ribosomal RNA (197 nucleotides) under uncultured bacterium. Its description in RNAcentral is "partial 16S ribosomal RNA". It matches the Rfam family "Bacterial small subunit ribosomal RNA", at positions 328 to 539 of the family's 1533-position model. The record is from RNAcentral.